UGGGGAAUCUUCCGCAAUGGACGAAAGUCUGACGGAGCAACGCCGCGUGAGUGAUGACGGCCUUCGGGUUGUAAAGCUCUGUUAAUCGGGACGAAUGGUUCUUGUGCGAAUAGUGCGAGGAUUUGACGGUACCGGAAUAGAAAGCCACGGCUAACUACGUGCCAGCAGCCGCGGUAAUACGUAGGUGGCAAGCGUUGUCCGGAAUUAUUGGGCGUAAAGCGCGCGCAGGCGGAUUGGUCAGUCUGUCUUAAAAGUUCGGGGCUUAACCCCGUGAUGGGAUGGAAACUGCCAAUCUAGAGUAUCGGAGAGGAAAGUGGAAUUCCUAGUGUAGCGGUGAAAUGCGUAGAUAUUAGGAAGAACACCAGUGGCGAAGGCGAGUUUCUGGACGAAAACUGACGCUGAGGCGCGAAAGCCAGGGGAGCGAACGGG
This 429-nucleotide ribosomal RNA is filed under the name bacterium. RNAcentral's name for it is "partial 16S ribosomal RNA". It matches the Rfam family "Bacterial small subunit ribosomal RNA", at positions 355 to 776 of the family's 1533-position model. The record is from RNAcentral.